AUCAUGUCGUCCUAUCUUACCAACCUCUCUGAUAUCAGCAGCGAGCCUCCUCUCUCGGUCUUUCUGGAAGCGACGUCGGACUCGAGACUCAGCUCCACUCACCAACGAGGAAUCUGGAUAGGGCGACAAGGGUUUUGUCCCGGCCAAGACGCAACCCAUCCCGCGGUCAUCAACAGCAUCUCCGAUCGCGCCAGACGUGGCCACUGCUUUCGUUUCUAGUUCACAUGUGCUCGCCCGCCACACGUUGGUUUGCGACUCUCAAAACUUACGUUCACCAUCUUGUCUCGUAUGCCUGCUGUGUAAAUGGUAAGCACUCCGCACACUCAGGUUGUUCGAUGAAAUGUGCCAACAAUAUUUUUUUUGCUCGUCUAGGACAUCAAAGUAGAUCUGUUGUCAGCCGUGCACCUAGGUUGUUCGACAAAAUGUCCCGACAUUUGUUUUGUCAUACCACCAUGCAUUACAUGUUGUCCUUAAAACAUAUACGCUACUACAGGAUAUUUAGACUUCGUUGGUGAUGACUACAUCAACUAACUUAUAUAUUUUCAUGCGUACAUUAACUGUUGUGCAUGUCUAACAAGACGUAUUAAUUGUAAUUUUAUAGCUCUCGCAUCCACUUGAACUACAUCGUGAUUGGUUCACAAUAUCCAAAACCUUCCGUGCGGUGAAUUGGCAGGCUUAGUAACCGGGAACCAGGAACUUGGCCACGUUCCUCGUUCCGGGAACGUUCGUUCCGUUCCGGGAAUGUGGGAACAAUCUCGUUCCAGUAGUGUUAAAUCCUAGAUUUUGUAGCGUACCGCGUACCACGUUCUCGUUCCUCGAUCCCAUCGAUCUGGGAAGCGUACCACGUUCCCGUUCCUCGAUCCCAUCGAUCUGGGAACCUGGUUACUAAGGGCAGGACGAACUUCAUCAUUACAGCCUCGGAUAAGUACGGAUCAAGUUAUAUGGUCAAAUGUGUAUUUUUCAUAUUCAUCUUUAAAUCGGCUCAUCUGAUUAUAUGUCACUCAUAUAUUCCUUUUGGUUUCUGAAUAAUAUAUCAACAAUUCACGUCGAACUGCGGCAUCUGUUUCCCGGCUCCUAAAAGCUCCCGGUUGAAGCGCUUCAUUUACUAGAUAAAUGUAAAGGCCAUGUUAUACAUAAUAUUUUUUUUUCUUCCUUCAUCAUUAGUAAUAUGGGUUUUGUUGUUAUAAAUAAUUGUAUGGUUCAUUUUGCUGUCAUACUGCUCAAAUGCCUGAUCGGUAAGGCCAUCCUACUUCUAAUUAUCUACCUAAGUUUUUAGUUUUUAUGCUUCGGUUUCAAUUUUACAGAGUAUGGAAAUACAGUAGCAAUUUGCUUUGUUAUCUCUGUUAAUUAACAGUGUCCACAAUAUAUUCUACUUCUUUACAACA
Molecule: long non-coding RNA, 1385 nt
Organism: Zea mays
Lineage: Eukaryota; Viridiplantae; Streptophyta; Magnoliopsida; Poales; Poaceae
Exons: 2
Source: RefSeq, a predicted model, not a curated record